UUCCCUCUAACUCAAUGAGUUAAGAGUCUGCCUGCAAUGCAGAAAAUCUGGGUUCGAUUCCUGGGUUGGAAA
RNAcentral lists this transfer RNA (72 nucleotides) under Ovis aries (sheep). It matches the Rfam family "tRNA". Rfam says of the family: Transfer RNA (tRNA) molecules are approximately 80 nucleotides in length. Their secondary structure includes four short double-helical elements and three loops (D, anti-codon, and T loops). Lineage: Eukaryota; Metazoa; Chordata; Mammalia; Artiodactyla; Bovidae. The record is from Rfam by way of RNAcentral.